GUGGGGAAUAUUGGGCAAUGGGGGAAACCCUGACCCAGCAACGCCGCGUGAAGGAAGAAGGCUUUCGGGUUGUAAACUUCUUUUAUGAGGGACGAAGAAGUGACGGUACCUCAUGAAUAAGCCACGGCUAACUACGUGCCAGCAGCCGCGGUAAUACGUAGGUGGCAAGCGUUGUCCGGAUUUACUGGGUGUAAAGGGCGCGUAGGCGGGAUAGUAAGUCAGGUGUGAAAUCCGGGGGCUUAACCCUCGAACUGCACUUGAAACUGUUAUUCUUGAGUGAUGGAGAGGCAAGCGGAAUUCCUAGUGUAGCGGUGAAAUGCGUAGAUAUUAGGAGGAACACCAGUGGCGAAGGCGGCUUUCUGGACUGUAACAGGCACUGAGGCACGAAAGCGUGGGGAGCAAACAGGAUUAGAAACCCCGGUAGUCC
RNAcentral lists this ribosomal RNA (427 nucleotides) under uncultured bacterium. RNAcentral describes it as "partial 16S ribosomal RNA". It matches the Rfam family "Bacterial small subunit ribosomal RNA", at positions 354 to 796 of the family's 1533-position model. The record is from RNAcentral.